GCCGGGUGCUGUGGUGAGUGCCUGUAGUCCCAGCUACUCGGGAGGCUGAGUGGGAGGAUCGCUUGAGCCCAGGCUGUAGUGUGCUAUGCCCAUCGGGUGUCCGCACUAAGUUCGGCAGCCAUAUGGUGACCUCCCAGGAGCAGGGACCACCAGGUUGCCUAAGGAGGGGUGAACUGGCCCAGGUUGGAAACGGAACAGGUCAAAACUCCCGUGCUGAUCAGUAGUGGGAUCGCACCUGUGAAUAGCCACUGCACUCCAGCCUGGGCAAUGUUGCGAGACCCCCAUCUCA
This 289-nucleotide signal recognition particle RNA is filed under the name Saimiri boliviensis boliviensis (Bolivian squirrel monkey). RNAcentral's name for it is "Metazoan signal recognition particle RNA (ENSSBOG00000005975.1)". It matches the Rfam family "Metazoan signal recognition particle RNA". From Rfam's summary of the family: The signal recognition particle (SRP) is a universally conserved ribonucleoprotein. It is involved in the co-translational targeting of proteins to membranes. Lineage: Eukaryota; Metazoa; Chordata; Mammalia; Primates; Cebidae. The record is from Rfam by way of RNAcentral.